GAUGAACGCUGGCGGCGUGCCUAAUACAUGCAAGUCGAGCGAACAGAUAAGGAGCUUGCUCCUUUGACGUUAGCGGCGGACGGGUGAGUAACACGUGGGUAACCUACCUAUAAGACUGGGAUAACUUCGGGAAACCGGAGCUAAUACCGGAUAACAUUUGGAACCGCAUGGUUCUAAAGUGAAAGAUGGUUUUGCUAUCACUUAUAGAUGGACCCGCGCCGUAUUAGCUAGUUGGUAAGGUAACGGCUUACCAAGGCAACGAUACGUAGCCGACCUGAGAGGGUGAUCGGCCACACUGGAACUGAGACACGGUCCAGACUCCUACGGGAGGCAGCAGUAGGGAAUCUUCCGCAAUGGGCGAAAGCCUGACGGAGCAACGCCGAGUGAGUGAUGAAGGGUUUCGGCUCGUAAAACUCUGUUAUUAGGGAAGAACAAACGUGUAAGUAACUGUGCACGUCUUGACGGUACCUAAUCAGAAAGCCACGGCUAACUACGUG
This 497-nucleotide ribosomal RNA is filed under the name uncultured bacterium. RNAcentral describes it as "partial 16S ribosomal RNA". It matches the Rfam family "Bacterial small subunit ribosomal RNA", at positions 28 to 507 of the family's 1533-position model. The record is from RNAcentral.